RNAcentral lists this ribosomal RNA (301 nucleotides) under uncultured bacterium. RNAcentral describes it as "partial 16S ribosomal RNA". It matches the Rfam family "Bacterial small subunit ribosomal RNA", at positions 509 to 808 of the family's 1533-position model. The record is from RNAcentral.
CAGCAGCCGCGGUAAUACGUAGGGUGCGAGCGUUGUCCGGAUUUAUUGGGCGUAAAGCGAGCGCAGGCGGUUAGAUAAGUCUGAAGUUAAAGGCUGUGGCUUAACCAUAGUACGCUUUGGAAACUGUUUAACUUGAGUGCAAGAGGGGAGAGUGGAAUUCCAUGUGUAGCGGUGAAAUGCGUAGAUAUAUGGAGGAACACCGGUGGCGAAAGCGGCUCUCUGGCUUGUAACUGACGCUGAGGCUCGAAAGCGUGGGGAGCAAACAGGAUUAGAUACCCCGGUAGUCCCUGUCUCUUAUACC